GGCGGUCUUCGGUAGUGGCUGCCGGGCUCUUUGUGGGGGCCGGCGGCUUCGAUCGAAUGGCCGUA
Non-coding RNA from Mycobacterium conspicuum, 65 nucleotides. The record is from Rfam. Lineage: Bacteria; Bacillati; Actinomycetota; Actinomycetes; Mycobacteriales; Mycobacteriaceae.